Molecule: ribosomal RNA, 306 nt
Filed under: uncultured bacterium
Lineage: Bacteria
Description: bacterial SSU rRNA
Rfam family: Bacterial small subunit ribosomal RNA
Source: RNAcentral
GACGAACGCUGGCGGCGUGCCUAACACAUGCAAGUCGAACGGAGUAAUUUCUUCGGAGAUUACUUAGUGGCGAACGGGUGAGUAACGCGUGAGAAACCUGCCUUUCAGUGGGGGACAACAGUUGGAAACGACUGCUAAUACCGCAUAAUGUUAUUUGGGGGCAUCCCUGAAUAACCAAAGCUUUAUGUGCUGAAAGAUGGUCUCGCGUCUGAUUAGCUAGAUGGCGGGGUAACGGCCCACCAUGGCGACGAUCAGUAGCCGGUCUGAGAGGAUGAACGGCCACAUUGGGACUGAGAUACGGCCCAG